Molecule: non-coding RNA, 73 nt
Organism: Stegodyphus mimosarum
Lineage: Eukaryota; Metazoa; Arthropoda; Arachnida; Araneae; Eresidae
Source: Rfam
ACCUUCGUGGUGUAGUGGUAAGCACACUCGGCACGUAUUCGAGAGGUCUGUGUUUCGAGUCCCAGCGAGGGCA